GCUCUCUCUCUCUGUCUUGUUGUUAUGGUGAUCGCUGUUGCCACCUCUUAACCCGACCGCUGGGAAAUUCCUCAGGGUGGGGUCAGUGUCCAGUGCAUUUCCGGGCCUUCAGACAACAGUGUGGCCGGAAUGUCCGUGCACCGCGCGCGCAGCUCAGGUCUCCAGGGCCGCCCUGCCCGGGCUCCUCCAUCCCGUAGACCAAUCCUUCCCACCACCUGCAAGGACGUCGCCGGCCCACCCCCAGAACCUUCCUCUAAUCUUAGGGCAAGCCUGAGAGGUUGCUUCCAGUUCAAGAGGCUCGGAGCUGAGGGCCUUGUGUGCACGCAGAUGUGACUCCUGAGACCUCCCGGGGAAGUCACUCUGCUGGGUUUACAGACCCACAGGAAGAUGGAAAUAAACCCGAAUACGUCGGUGGCCAACUGAUUCCCAGUAAGGGAGCCCAGACCGUUCAAUGACAAAAAGUCCUUCAACAGAUGGUGCUGGGCCCCUACCUCACACCGCACACAAAAAUGAACUCAGAGUGGAUCAAAGACCCACAUGGAAGGAGUCAAAACUAUGAAAGUCUCAGAAGAAAACGCUGGGGGGGCUCCUCGCCGCCUUGGACUUGGUGAGAGGUUCUUGGCUACGACACCAAGGCACAGGCAGUCAAGAAAAAACUGGAUAAAUUGGACUCUGUCGACAUUAAAAACUUCUGGGCAUCGACAGAGUGUAUAGACGGCCCACGCUCGGGAGAGGCCGUCUGCGGAUUAUAUCCCUGAUAGAGACCUCGUGUCAGGAUAUAUAAUGAACUCUCACAGCUCAGCAACAAAAGGUCAAGAAUGGACGGAGGACCCGAACAGGAACUUUUCCCAAGAAAACGUGCAAAUGGCCAACAAGCACGUGAAAAGAGGGAAACGCAACUCAAAACCACGCUGAGAUGCCCGCGAGGAUGCCUAGAAUGGGGCGGAAACUAGCGAGUGCUGGCCAGGACGUGGACAACGUGGAACGCCUGGGCACUGCUGGCGGGAGCAUGGGACGGGACGGCCACUCUGGAAAACGGGUUGGUGGAUCCCGGAGAGUAAAACGUCGAAUGCUCAUUUGAUGAAGCUUCUCCACCCCUACGUACACACCCAGAGAACCGAAACCAGGGCUCCAGACAAACACUUGUACACAAAUGUUCACAGCAGCUUUAUACACAGCGGUCGCAAAGAGGAAAGGACCCAAGUGCCCGUCGCCUAAAGCAAAGGUAGGCUCUGUGCCCACUGUGGGGCUCCA
Lynx canadensis (Canada lynx) is the source of this 1254-nucleotide long non-coding RNA. RefSeq lists it as uncharacterized. The transcript has 4 exons. The record is from RefSeq and is a predicted model, not a curated record. Lineage: Eukaryota; Metazoa; Chordata; Mammalia; Carnivora; Felidae.